AGGAAGGGAAAAUUAGCCGAUAACUAAUUUUAUACUAGUUCGAUUCUAGUCCUAUCUU
RNAcentral lists this transfer RNA (58 nucleotides) under Ophionotus victoriae. Its description in RNAcentral is "tRNA-Ile". The record is from RNAcentral. Lineage: Eukaryota; Metazoa; Echinodermata; Ophiuroidea; Amphilepidida; Ophiuridae.